GAUGAAGAACGCAGCAAAAUGCGAUAGGUAAUGUGAAUUGCAGAAUUCAGUGAAUCAUCGAAUCUUUGAACGCACAUUGCGCCCGCUGGUAUUCCGGCGGGCAUGCCUGUUCGAGCGUCAUUUCAACCCUCAAACCCCCCGGGUUUGGUGUUGGGGAUCGGCUCUGCCUCACGGCGGUGCCGCCCCCGAAAUACAUUGGCGGUCUCGCUGCAGCCUCCAUUGCGUAGUAGCUAACACCUCGCAACUGGAACGCGGCGCGGCCAUGCCGUAAAACCCCAACUUCUGAAUGUUGACCUCGGAUCAGGUAGGAAUACCCGCUGAAUUUAAGCAUAUCAAUAAGCGGAGGA
Molecule: unclassified non-coding RNA, 347 nt
Filed under: soil metagenome
Description: partial contains 5.8S ribosomal RNA, internal transcribed spacer 2, and large subunit ribosomal RNA
Rfam family: 5.8S ribosomal RNA (bases 1-120)
Source: RNAcentral